UACGUAGGGUGCAAGCGUUGUCCGGAAUUAUUGGGCGUAAAGAGCUCGUAGGCGGUUUGUCGCGUCUGCCGUGAAAACUCGGGGCUUAACCCCGGGCCUGCAGUGGGUACGGGCAGACUAGAGUGCGGUAGGGGAGACUGGAAUUCCUGGUGUAGCGGUGGAAUGCGCAGAUAUCAGGAGGAACACCGAUGGCGAAGGCAGAUCUCUGGGCCGUAACUGACGCUGAGGAGCGAAAGCGUGGGGAGCGAACAGG
Molecule: ribosomal RNA, 253 nt
Filed under: uncultured bacterium
Lineage: Bacteria
Description: partial 16S ribosomal RNA
Rfam family: Bacterial small subunit ribosomal RNA
Source: RNAcentral